GGGGGGUCUCUCCGCAGGUGGCGAGUGGGGGCCGCGGCAGCUGCGUCCCCAUGAGGAGGGGAGGAAGAUGCCGGCUGAGCUGCUGCUGCUGCUGAUAGUCGCCUUCGCCAACCCCAGCUGCCAGGUGCUGUCAUCACUGCGCAUGGCUGCAAUCCUGGACGACCAGACCGUGUGUGGCCGUGGUGAGCGUCUGGCCCUGGCCCUGGCCCGAGAGCAGAUCAAUGGGAUCAUCGAGGUCCCAGCCAAGGCCCGAGUGGAAGUAGACAUCUUUGAGCUGCAACGGGACAGCCAGUACGAGACUACGGACACCAUGUGUCAGAUCCUGCCCAAGGGGGUUGUGUCUGUCUUGGGACCCUCCUCCAGCCCAGCUUCUGCCUCCACCGUGAGCCAUAUC
RNAcentral lists this long non-coding RNA (394 nucleotides) under Rattus norvegicus (Norway rat). RNAcentral's name for it is "long non-coding RNA NONRATT002394". The record is from RNAcentral. Lineage: Eukaryota; Metazoa; Chordata; Mammalia; Rodentia; Muridae.